UACGAAGGGUGCAAGCGUUACUCGGAAUUACUGGGCGUAAAGCGUGCGUAGGUGGUGGUUUAAGUCCGUUGUGAAAGCCCUGGGCUCAACCUGGGAAUUGCAGUGGAUACUGGAUCACUAGAGUGUGGUAGAGGAUAGUGGAAUUUCCGGUGUAGCGGUGAAAUGCGUAGAGAUCAGCAGGAACACCCGUGGCGAAGGCGGCCCCCUGGGCCGAACCUGACGCUGAGGCGCGAAGGCUAGGGGAGCGAACGGG
RNAcentral lists this ribosomal RNA (253 nucleotides) under uncultured bacterium. RNAcentral's name for it is "partial 16S ribosomal RNA". It matches the Rfam family "Bacterial small subunit ribosomal RNA", at positions 524 to 776 of the family's 1533-position model. The record is from RNAcentral.